GUCUCUUGGGAACCUUGAGGUAAAAAAUUAUCUAAGUUGCAUCUGUUCUUAUCAAUUUAAUAUCUGAUAGGUCCUUUAUUUGAAGACUGUAUGUUAAAUUGGUUUUUGAAACAGGGGGCUGGAAUAAGAGCUUGCUCUGUCCAUCCCAUGUAUUGACCUGGUAUUGCAGUGCCUCCAGGACUGGUGCCUCUCCU
Small nuclear RNA from Mauremys mutica (yellowpond turtle), 194 nucleotides. RefSeq annotates it as U2 spliceosomal RNA. The transcript has a single exon. Lineage: Eukaryota; Metazoa; Chordata; Testudines; Geoemydidae. The record is from RefSeq and is a predicted model, not a curated record.